CGACCGGCGCACGGGUGAGUAACACGUAUCCAACCUGCCGAUGACUCGGGGAUAGCCCUUCGAAAGAAAGAUUAAUACCCGAUGGCAUAGUUCUUCCGCAUGGUAGAACUAUUAAAGAAUUUCGGUCAUCGAUGGAGAUGCGUUCCAUUAGCUUGUUGGCGGGGUAACGGCCCACCAAGGCAUCGAUGGAUAGGGGUUCUGAGAGGAAGGUCCCCCACAUUGGAACUGAGACACGGUCCAAACUCCUACGGGAGGCAGCAGC
This 262-nucleotide ribosomal RNA is filed under the name uncultured bacterium. RNAcentral describes it as "partial 16S ribosomal RNA". It matches the Rfam family "Bacterial small subunit ribosomal RNA", at positions 92 to 355 of the family's 1533-position model. The record is from RNAcentral.